UCCUACGGGGGGCAGCAGUGAGGAAUAUUGGUCAAUGGUCGGGAGACUGAACCAGCCAAGCCGCGUGAGGGAUGAAGGUACAGAGUAUCGUAAACCUCUUUUGUCAGGGAACAAAGGCGGGGACGUGUCCCCGGAUGAGUGUACCUGAAGAAAAAGCAUCGGCUAACUCCGUGCCAGCAGCCGCGGUAAUACGGAGGAUGCGAGCGUUAUCCGGAUUUAUUGGGUUUAAAGGGUGCGCAGGCGGUCUGUUAAGUUAGCGGUCAAAGCCCGGGGCUCAACCCCGGCCCGCCGUUGAAACUGGCAGU
RNAcentral lists this ribosomal RNA (305 nucleotides) under uncultured bacterium. RNAcentral's name for it is "bacterial SSU rRNA". It matches the Rfam family "Bacterial small subunit ribosomal RNA", at positions 337 to 640 of the family's 1533-position model. The record is from RNAcentral.